GGGGAGGUAGCUCAGUGGUAGAGCACUUGCCUGGCAUAUGCAUAAGCCCUGGGUUCAAUCCCCAGCACCA
Ictidomys tridecemlineatus (thirteen-lined ground squirrel) is the source of this 70-nucleotide non-coding RNA. The record is from Rfam. NCBI's taxonomy places the organism in Eukaryota, Metazoa, Chordata, Mammalia, Rodentia, Sciuridae.